This 306-nucleotide ribosomal RNA is filed under the name uncultured bacterium. RNAcentral's name for it is "partial 16S ribosomal RNA". It matches the Rfam family "Bacterial small subunit ribosomal RNA", at positions 505 to 808 of the family's 1533-position model. The record is from RNAcentral.
GACAGCAGCAGCCGCGGUAAUACAGAGGAUGCGAGCAUUAUCCGGAAUGAUUGGGCGUAAAGCGAGCGCAGGCGGUUAGAUAAGUCUGAAGUGAAAGGCAGUGGCUCAACCAUUGUAGGCUUUGGAAACUGUUUAACUUGAGUGCAGAAGGGGAGAGUGGAAUUCCAUGUGUAGCGGUGAAAUGCGUAGAUAUAUGGAGGAACACCGGUGGCGAAAGCGGCUCUCUGGUCUGUAACUGACGCUGAGGCUCGAAAGCGUGGGGAGCGAACAGGAUUAGAUACCCGGGUAGUCCCUGUCUCUUAUACA